UCAGAAGAGACUACAAAGAAGCAUAAAAUGAAUAGACAAUACAACCAGCCAAAGGUAAUUUAAAUUUUUACAUUUGGUAAAAUAAAAAUGACGUACAAAGUCCAAAUAGAAUAUCAUUUGCUGGGUGGUAGGUCUGUAGUGUAUUGCAUAUGUCCCAGUUCAUGCAAUAGGUACAGUUCCAGAAAAAUCUAAGUUUCCAUAUGUGCAGUUUUUUCCCCUGUAUGUAGCCUUUGUAUACUAUAUAUCAAGGAUAAUGCAAACAUAACCUGUAACUGCCUAUAAAAAAUGAAAUUCGGGAUACAGAAGACAUAAUAGGACACUUUUUUUAGAAAGUAAGCCAGACAAGUACCUUGCCUGAACUAUACAAAUCACUGUAAAUUAAAUGGCUUUUAUGUGGAAAAUGGUAGUGUUGACUGUAUUAGUGGACUGUGGUUUACACACAUAAGAAUCUACAAACUCAGUGUUAAAAAGGGAUUUCAGAAAUAGGCCAAUUUUUUAUAUACCAUGCAGUAGUCUGAAUAGGAUUCAGAGAGGUAUUAUAAAUAUUAGUACCAAACCUGAUUAUUUGCAUUUAUGGAAUAGCAUGAGUCUGAUACAAAUAUGUGGAAAAUCAUAACUUUUCACUUCUGACUUAAGCAGAGAUUGUUUAUUCCCAAGAAAACCAGGAUGUUUCAAUUCAUGUUUCAGCCAUCUGGAGACCUAUAAAAAGAUGAGAAAACAAGCAUGACAAUCAUGUCCUAAUCUACUGGCCAUUAAUGGGAAUUUAUUAGAGAAUGAGCAAGCAAGCCAUUUGAAUUCAGUACAUCCUUCAAUAUGCAGAUUUCAAAAAGGGUAUUCUGUAGCUCAGAUAAAUAGCUUUCUGAAA
RNAcentral lists this long non-coding RNA (865 nucleotides) under Lynx pardinus (Iberian lynx). Lineage: Eukaryota; Metazoa; Chordata; Mammalia; Carnivora; Felidae. The record is from RNAcentral.